GCGGGGUACAACCCCUGU
RNAcentral lists this small nuclear RNA (18 nucleotides) under Arabidopsis thaliana (thale cress). RNAcentral describes it as "snRNA_16561". Lineage: Eukaryota; Viridiplantae; Streptophyta; Magnoliopsida; Brassicales; Brassicaceae. The record is from RNAcentral.